Long non-coding RNA from Oryza sativa Japonica Group (Japanese rice), 1922 nucleotides. RefSeq lists it as uncharacterized. The record is from RefSeq and is a predicted model, not a curated record. NCBI's taxonomy places the organism in Eukaryota, Viridiplantae, Streptophyta, Magnoliopsida, Poales, Poaceae.
CCCAGCCGGCCCCAUACCCCGUCCGCGCCCCUGUCCCUUCCCCAACGCCAUGUCUCGAUCGAUCGCGAGGCAACGGCGGCCGAUCCCGACCACACCUUCCCCGCACGUCUUGGCUCGCCGCCUCGCCCGCACACAGCAGCGUGAGAGCCGGCCGGCGGCGGCGGUUCGGUUCGGCUAGCUCACCCGGCGGCUACCCAUCUGGCGGAAUCUCUGUAAGCUCUCAAUCUUACCCCUGAAUCCGGCAGCGAUCUGGAAGCCAUCCCACGCAUUUGAGGCAUCGUACGUGACCAGGCCACACCAGGGACAGGCCGUGGUAACCACCGGCCUUAGCUUCCACACACUGACACACUAGCUACUACACUUCAAUUUUCCCUGAGUAGUGUACUAGUACCAAUUAUUCCCUCUUCAAUUUUCUUCUUCUAGUUAUAUAUAUGUCCCUUUAUCCGAUAUCGAUCUUAAUCUGACGAUGGAGAUCAACGUGGACAUAAAAUACCUGCAGGUUAAUUUUCUGAUUCUUCUGUGCUAAUGUUGAUCUACUUUUACUGCACCAUCACUUCUUUCUCUUUUCUAAUCUGCAAGAAUCUUUCAGAGCAAGCUGCUCUGAGUCUCAGGCACUACAAAGUGCCAAUCAGUUUUCUGUAAGUGGAUGUUCACUUCAAUUUCAGAUAUAUUCAGCUGAUACAAGUACAGGUAAAGUGUGUUUGCAGUGCGAUUGUCAUCCUAUCAUAAAAUUUACAACGAUUGCAAGUUUUGAUCCUUGUACAAGCUGUGCUUAGGUAUGGCAUUCUGUACAUAAGUGUUCUUCAUCAGAAAUAUAAUCCAAAGAUCCGAUUAAUUGUAAUCCCAAGAACCAGAUCAAAAGACAUUUAUACUGUGCUAUACUCAUCUUAAAAAAAUAAUUAAUCAGCAUUGUAAUAUUUUAAGAGCAUUUUAUCAUGUUCCAUUUCAAGCAGUGUUUGCAAUUCCGAUCUGAAAUUUCGGGAAUUAAUGCCCCCUGGCAUGACACUAUUUUACCCGAUUUUUUCAUUUUUUUUAAUUCAGUCAAAUUUUGUUCAUUUUUUUAAAUCAUUCCAAAAUAUGGCAAACCGUACUGAUUUCAAGGCGAAACUACCUGACUUAAUGUCUAUGUAAGUUGUGCUUCCGGCCGUCUCAUAUAUAUGUGCGGGUGAUUUAAUUUGGCUAGUUUGGAACCAAAUUUAAUUUGGCUGUCUCAUAUAUAAAGUAGCCGCUUUUUAUUGGUAAUCCUGAUUCCACCUAGGCACUGCUGAUUGAGCAGUCAAGACAUGCAUAUGUAUAAUCAAAUUAAAUAGUGCAAUAACUUAGUAAUAUUUGAAGGUUAUCAUGCAGUAUGCAUACUGAACGAUGUGGCACAUCAUUAUAGGAGUAGAAUGUAAAAUAAUAUUUGGAGAUUUACAAAUAAAUUAUCGUUUUGAGAAUUAAUGUUAUCAUUUUUUUUCCCUGCAGUAGUAGUCACUUGAUAAAUAUGAGGGUAACUUUGUUUGGCUGGCGAACAAUAUACAUUAGACUAGGACUUAUGUUUGUGGGGUGCAUUAAUUGUGUAAUCCAUAUUUCUAUUUUAAAAUAAGUAAUUUCUGUUUUCUUCACACAAGAAGAUUCUUACAGUUGGCUUGAAAAAAAAAUCAGUUACUCGCUUUCUUGAUUCAAUUUUUAUUUGCUCGUUGCUGCUACAUGAUUGAAGAAACAAUUCCAUACAAAACUCGAUCUGAUUAGCCCAUUGUAUGCAUGUUAAUUUGAAACUUUUUAUUAGAAAAAAAAAUCCAAUUUCAUAUGCCGACUUAAUAUAAUGUAUUUUCUCACUAUUAUUACCUUUAGACCUUUCAUUAUCAUUUGCUACCCAAGUUUGGCAUAUAUAAUAUACUCUCUCCGUAACAAAAUAUAAAAAGUUUUGGUUAGAUGGGACG